Molecule: ribosomal RNA, 1042 nt
Filed under: uncultured bacterium
Lineage: Bacteria
Description: bacterial SSU rRNA
Rfam family: Bacterial small subunit ribosomal RNA
Source: RNAcentral
ACGGCCACAUUGGGACUGAGACACGGCCCAGACUCCUACGGGAGGCAGCAGUGGGGGAUAUUGCACAAUGGGGGAAACCCUGAUGCAGCGACGCCGCGUGGAGGAAGAAGGUUUUCGGAUUGUAAACUCCUGUCGUUAGGGACGAUAAUGACGGUACCUAACAAGAAAGCACCGGCUAACUACGUGCCAGCAGCCGCGGUAAAACGUAGGGUGCAAGCGUUGUCCGGAAUUACUGGGUGUAAAGGGAGCGCAGGCGGGAAGACAAGUUGGAAGUGAAAACCAUGGGCUCAACCCAUGAAUUGCUUUCAAAACUGUUUUUCUUGAGUAGUGCAGAGGUAGAUGGAAUUCCCGGUGUAGCGGUGGAAUGCGUAGAUAUCGGGAGGAACACCAGUGGCGAAGGCGGUCUACUGGGCACCAACUGACGCUGAGUCUCGAAAGCAUGCNUAGCAUACAAGGGUACAUUCCUUUCUUNUCCNUCCNNUNCNCCCCCCUUAAGGAAGAGGGGGGAUUGACCCCCCUCAGUGCCGCAGGUAACACAAUAAGUAAUCCACCUGGGGAGUGCAACCGCAAGGUUGAAACUCAAAGGAAUUGACGGGGGCCCGCACAAGCAGUGGAGUAUGUGGUUUAAUUCGAAGCAACGCGAAGAACCUUACCAGGUCUUGACAUCCGAUGCAUAGCACAGAGAUGUGUGAAAUCCUUCGGGACAUCGAGACAGGUGGUGCAUGGUUGUCGUCAGCUCGUGUCGUGAGAUGUUGGGUUAAGUCCCGCAACGAGCGCAACCCUUAUUGCCAGUUACUACGUUAAGAGGACUCUGGCGAGACUGCCGUUGACAAAACGGAGGAAGGUGGGGAGGACGUCAAAUCAUCAUGCCCUUUAUGACCUGGGCUACACACGUACUACAAUGGCGUUAAACAAAGAGAAGCAAGACCGCGAGGUGGAGCAAAACUCAAAAACAACGUCUCAGUUCAGAUUGCAGGCUGCAACUCGUCUGCAUGAAGUCGGAAUUGCUAGUAAUCGCGGAUCAGCAUGCCGCGGUGAAUAA